UGGCGGCAGGCCUAACACAUGCAAGUCGAGCGGAUGAAAGGAGCUUGCUCCUGGAUUCAGCGGCGGACGGGUGAGUAAUGCCUAGGAAUCUGCCUGGUAGUGGGGGACAACGUUUCGAAAGGAACGCUAAUACCGCAUACGUCCUACGGGAGAAAGCAGGGGACCUUCGGGCCUUGCGCUAUCAGAUGAGCCUAGGUCGGAUUAGCUAGUUGGUGAGGUAAUGGCUCACCAAGGCGACGAUCCGUAACUGGUCUGAGAGGAUGAUCAGUCACACUGGAACUGAGACACGGUCCAGACUCCUACGGGAGGCAGCAGUGGGGAAUAUUGGACAAUGGGCGAAAGCCUGAUCCAGCCAUGCCGCGUGUGUGAAGAAGGUCUUCGGAUUGUAAAGCACUUUAAGUUGGGAGGAAGGGCAGUAAAUUAAUACUUUGCUGUUUUGACGUUACCGACAGAAUAAGCACCGGCUAACUCUGUGCCAGCAGCCGCGGUAAUACAGAGGGUGCAAGCGUUAAUCGGAAUUACUGGGCGUAAAGCGCGCGUAGGUGGUUUGUUAAGUUGGAUGUGAAAUCCCCGGGCUCAACCUGGGAACUGCAUCCAAAACUGGCAAGCUAGAGUAUGGUAGAGGGUGGUGGAAUUUCCUGUGUAGCGGUGAAAUGCGUAGAUAUAGGAAGGAACACCAGUGGCGAAGGCGACCACCUGGACUGAUACUGA
RNAcentral lists this ribosomal RNA (711 nucleotides) under Pseudomonas sp. Its description in RNAcentral is "bacterial SSU rRNA". It matches the Rfam family "Bacterial small subunit ribosomal RNA", at positions 37 to 743 of the family's 1533-position model. The record is from RNAcentral. Lineage: Bacteria; Pseudomonadati; Pseudomonadota; Gammaproteobacteria; Pseudomonadales; Pseudomonadaceae.